Molecule: microRNA precursor, 98 nt
Filed under: Marmota monax (woodchuck)
Lineage: Eukaryota; Metazoa; Chordata; Mammalia; Rodentia; Sciuridae
Source: RNAcentral
AGAGGGAUAGCUGGGUCAAAUGGUAGUUCCCAAUUUUUCAAGAAAUCUCCAUACUGCUUUCCAUAUUGGCUGCACCAAUUUGCAGUCCCACCAGCAGU